GAUGAACGCUGGCGGCGUGCAUAACACAUUCAAGUCGAACGGUGAAGGGGCUCCGGCCCCGGAACAGUGGCGGACGGGUGGAGUAACGCGUGAGCAACCUGCCCAAGUGAGGGGGAGUAACGUUUGGAAACGAACGCUAAUACCGCAUAACGUGUUUUUAAGGUCAUCUUAGGAACACCAAAGGAGAAUCCGCACGAGGAUGGGCUCGCGUCCGAUUAGGCAGUUGGUGAGGUAACGGCCCACCAAACCUAUGAUCGGUAGCCGGACUGAGAGGUUGAACGGCCACAUUGGAACUGAGAAACGGUCCAGACUCCUACGGGAGGCAGCAGUGAGGAAUAUUGGUCAAUGGUCUGACGACUGAACCAGCCAUGCCGCGUGAAGGUGACGGCCCUA
This 393-nucleotide ribosomal RNA is filed under the name uncultured bacterium. RNAcentral's name for it is "bacterial SSU rRNA". It matches the Rfam family "Bacterial small subunit ribosomal RNA", at positions 28 to 419 of the family's 1533-position model. The record is from RNAcentral.